RNAcentral lists this long non-coding RNA (6665 nucleotides) under Capsicum annuum. RNAcentral's name for it is "long non-coding RNA (CANN_LNC012544)". Lineage: Eukaryota; Viridiplantae; Streptophyta; Magnoliopsida; Solanales; Solanaceae. The record is from RNAcentral.
CGACGUGGAGGUAUUUUCUGUCAUAAUAACGCAUGAAUUAACAGCAGAAGAAAACAGUUGUAAGCAUGAUAGACUCUUGUAGAAACAAAGAAACAAAUUUUCCUAGAACGCCCCACAACCUCUUAAUCAUAGGUGUGGCACGCUACACACCGAUGCUCAAGAAUCUACGUAACGUGGCUUGUCAGACUCCCUAGGACUCUUCACAACCUUAGACUCUAAUACCAAGUUUAUAACGCUCCGAAAUAUCAUCCCGAGACACCACACGGUGCCCAAGGCUACACGUAGCCUCAAGCUAACCCUUUAACCCAAAACACUACCCUUGGGUUCCAACAUAACAACAUACAUGCUACAAUAAGGAUAUAUAUAUAAGUACAUAUCAUAUCAUAUCGCACAUAGCAAGGAAUAUCGUUAGACUAUACAUAUAUAGAAUGUCUAUACACAAACCAAACCAACAAUACACUAGUCUGACAUAGCCUCUAUACAACAAAAUCAACGAGUAUGUGGGGGCGUAUGCAAAAUAUAAAUAAUAUCAUAAAUUUCGUAAAAACGUAUAUACAGACCAUAAUGACACACCUGGCUUGAGUGACAUUGAAUCAUGCAACUCAUAACAUCUUAGAUAAAAAAUGUAGGAGAAAAACCUCAUAAAUCAUUAUAGAUCAUCAUAGGCAACUUGACUUACCACAUCAAAACUCGGAGUGACUCAGUAUUUCAAUAAACAUGACUCUUAUGGAUAGGGGAGUUUCCUAUAACCGACAACCCCACGUGAGCUACGUGGAAUACCAACAUUUGAAACUCUCGUUGGCAGGAGCAUCAUACUCUUUGCCAGGGAGUACGACCUUAAAACUGCAAUAAUCACAAUCGGGCUCUUUGGCCAAUAAUAUCAUCAUCAAACAACCCUACGGUGGCACAUAGGUUUGGGGAAAUACCAAAUUUCCCUCUAAAUGCUAAGUACUACUCCCCGACAAGCUUAGAACGCGUUAGGAAAUCCACCAUAACAUCACAAAGGUCUAUCAUAAAGAUCAAAUCAAAUCUCUUUUUCAUUUAUCAAAUCAUAUCAAUUUGUGGAUUCCUAACUCAACACAUUUUAGCUCAAAACAUUUUUAUCUUCCUCAACAUCAACAAGGUAUCAAUACAUUAAACCAUAACCAACUCGACAUUUGAACAAGGAUAUGAAGACUUAAUACAUAAUAUUUUCAACAAUUUAACUCAUCAAAACCAUCUGAAAAAAACCAAGACUCAUUGCAACUUCAAUAUCAACAUUUCUCAAUUUGUCAUCCAACUCACAUUUAAAGAUACUUAAGACAUCAACCCAUAGUAGAGAUAUAAAAUUUCCAAUAUCAAUUAUAAAUUCAUAAUAAGAAAAUAGUGAAAUGAUAGUAUAAAUCAAGACUUAACAAAUUAAAUCAUCAUACUCUCAUAAUCAAAUACUUUUUGGACAUAAUUUCAUCUCAACAUCAUGCACAUAUUGGAUGACAUAAUCUCAUAACUCAUAGACAAUAAUAUAAGAUAUAAAACCAUAUUUCCAAUUCAUGGUAAAACAUGUAAAAUCUCAUGUCAAUGUAACUCAACAAAAAUACCAGGCACAAUAUCGAAAGGAUAAUCUUGUUCAAAGCCCCACAUACCUAAAAAUGGAAGAUGAAUAUGAACUUCCGACUCCAAAACUUUAUUCAUGAAAAUAAAGGGUGCUUCUCGAAGCCUUUAACAUGAUCAACUCGAAUCCCAAAUCAAUUUGAAAUUUCUACAGUUCAAUCAAGAGACAUAGAAGGAUGAAAUUUGGAGUAGUAGGGUUGGGGUUUAAGCCUUAUAAAAUAUUGGAGAAAAAUGAUCUAUUGAAUACUCUAAUGGGCUUAAAUCCAUGGUUUACCUAGAUGGAUUGGAGUAGGAAUGACUAAAAUCCCCUUAAAAAUUAAAUAAUGUCAAAUAUAUUCUUUGGUGGACUGUUUUGAUAGGCUGAAUCAGAUUGACCAUAACUUUUUGCUCCGAUAGCCAAAUUGGAUGAAACCAAUUUCAUUGGAAAGAGGACUUCCAGAGCUUUCUGUUGAUAUAUAGUAGCUCACUCAGAUCAUUAUGUACAAGGAGUUAUGAUCGUUUGAAGUUGACCCUAAAUUUCGCCUUGCCUCAGUAUUUUUUUCCUUUCCUGCUGCACACUGCACACUUACUGUUCACCACUAUUCACGGUUAGAUCGGAAUGAUCAUAACUCAUUGCUCGAGUAUCCGUUUUGGAUGAUCCACAUAUCGUUGGAAAGCUUAUUCGAUGCUCUACGCGAUGACAGGUCACAUAUCCAGAAAUUCCACACAGAAAAAUUAUUAAUCACGAUAAAGAACAGAAUUCAACACAUUUUCGUCCGAGAUCUUAACGAAAAUAUUUUUCCGAGGCAUCACAUCGACCAUCGAGUUCCUGCCAGACAUAGCAGAAGCAUAGUAAGUUUAAACAAAAAGGAGAAUGAUGAAACAUAUGUAAAAAGUGUUUGGCAAAGAACAUGUGCGAGCUUAACUAAUAUUAGCAAACCAAAACCAUACACAUUUCUGAUUCUUUUAAUUUAUGAUAAAGUAUGGUGAUAUGUAACCCCUAUCCAACUUCAUCCCUUCAACAACUUCUAAUUAAUUGUCUAGUGUCUUCUCGUCCAGUGUGGUAGUAGAAAUAAGUUAGCUACAAAUCUUUACAAUACCAAGUCUGCCACAAAUUAGUCGAACUGUACCAAAUGGAUACAUAUUGGACUAUGACAAGAAGUUACUGAGCAAUAAAAUAAUUUAUCAAAAUAUAUAUGCUCGAUAUCUAGCCCAAAUUCUCCCAUAUAACCACUAAAAUUGAUAAGGUCUCAAUUAGCAAAAGUAAGCAAAAUAAUCAUCUAUUUCAGUUCCACCCACAUCCCAAGAGCAUAUCGAAACUUGAAGCUUCCUAAUUUUGGACACAUUUUAAGCUUAUAAUAUAAGUUAGGACCAUGGUGACCAAAAGACACAUACAAUCUCCGUAUACGGCAUACAUAGAUAGAUGGACAAUAGAAUUACUAACUUGAAUAGUAAUGACACCCUCCUUGCCUACUCUCUCAAUAGCCCUGGCAAUUAGAUCACCAAUUUCUAUUUCUCCAUUUGCAAAGAUAGUCCCAACCUCUCAAAAGUUACAACAUCAAACUCUUACGAGAAAAAUUGCAUCGCUUGAGUAAAAAAGAAGAUACAUAGAACUCUUCAGUGCAUAGUUAAAUCUUCUUUCCUGGGAGAUUUUUUUACUUUUUGCAUUUUUCCCCUUCUACUAGUAUCUCUUCCCUUUGACUACCUUUUUACUAGUUAUUUUCUAUUCUUUCUCCCUUUUCGGUAUGUGAGGUUGGGAAGGAGUAGUCUUUAGGCCUUCAAGGGAGGGAGGAGGUUGUCUACAAAAGAUAAGAGAUUUGUCCGCACCAAAAAGGCCUAAUAGUACUUUUAAAUCAUACCACUAGACAACAUUGGCAUAAUCAAUUUCCUAAUCAAUGUUAGCAAAGAUAUUAAAUUCCUACGCCAAGUUAACUUUCUGCACAACUACUUAAGCAGUAGCAGCUGCUACUUUGACUAUUACCUAGGCGAUGAGUUCUUUUUGAGCUUCGCAUUAUGCGAUAACCUAAUUCAACUAAAACCAAGCAAACAUUUGAUGGAACAGAAAAUCUUAAUCGUAAUAAACACUAAUAAGUAAUUUUAGAUUAUAUUCCCAAACACUGGUACCUUGAUUGAGAUAAAAGAUAAAAGCCAAAAUUAAAGCAGAUUAAAAAAGAGAAACUUAUCACCUUGAUUAAGAAUGUGCUAAAGCAAAAUAAAUUCAUGAGGUUUUCUUGUUAAAUCCUUGUACUAUGAUUAAGCCUUGUACACAAAUAUAGUACAAAGCUUUGUGAACAAAUAUAGUGCAAAGAUACAAACGACUAAACAUUUUGCAUCAACUUUCUGUAAUACCUGUUUCAUAUAAAAACAUCCCUUGUUUCAAAUGUAAAUAAAAAUACAAAAUGAGUGACAGAUUUGAGAAUCCCAAAGAUCUUUACCUACUUUUGUCUUGAGUUAGUGACAACUUACAUAUGUGGCAUCCUAUACGUAACCUUUUUAUAUGCAACUUACAAACGACCGAGCAUAAGUCAUCUUAUGAAACAAUUUAUAGGGAUAAUUUAACACAUAGAAACACAAAUAACAAUAAUAUACCCAGUGUAGUCUCAUUAGUCAUAAGUGGAGUCUGGAGGGUAGUGUGUAUGCAGCUUAAUCCUAUCUUGUGAAGGUAGCGAGGUUGAUUCCAAUAUUCAACACACAGAAAGACGAGGGAAAUUGUAUAAUGGUGAAUCUCUUCUUAAACAUAAGAUAAGGAUAAUACAACAUAGCAACUCACAAUGGCACUAGAUUCAUUUUUUUAUGAAGUCAUAACAACAACAGAUUCAUUUGUUCCAAAUCAAUCAAAGUUCAGAUUUACUGUUCAGUAGAACCAGUCAAUGGGUUUUGCGCCAAGAGAGCCAUGACAAGAAACAUGUAUAGGGAAACACAUUUGGGGCAGAAGAAUCUAGAGUAGUUUCAUAUAGUAAAGGCAAUGAAUUAUAAGGAUCUGGAUGAGUUUUAUAAAGGACUCAUCGAGCUGCAUCUCAAUCCCAAUAGGCCAAAAUCCAUGGAAGGAUAUGAAAUUAAACAGAAAACAAUAAUUUAUGUCAAUAUUUCCUAGCUCUUGUGGACAUUCUCAUAAGAAAUAUUCCCCCAAAUCUCAACAACAUACCCAGUGUAUUCCCACAUAGUGGAGUCUGGGGAGGGUAGAGUGUACACAGACCAUACCACUACCUCAAGUGAAGUAGAGAGGUUGUUUCCGAUAGAAUUCCCCCAAAUCUCAAAAACAGAAAUAUUCUUGUGGUAGAAAUGAACUCCUACAGGUCCUAGACCCCUCCGUCCCCUUGGACCAACAAGAGGUAGUACAAGAAUGUUCCUGAGGUUUUACCCCAAAUGUUCUGUUAGUGUACAUGUACACGAAGACAAGAGGAGAGACAUUGGAUUAUUACGUAUUUACUUCAGGGGAGAUUGCUUUCAAAAUUGGUAAGUUAUUAUUGACAGAUCCCUAAAAUCUAUGGUCUUGCAUUGAAACAAUUGCUAGAUAAUUCUUAAAGUUAUGAGAAGAUAUCAUCACUUACCUUGAAUCUCCCACAUGUGCCCUCGAUUUGCAAAAGAUUGUUCUAGACAAUUCAAAAUAUGAACAACACCUUUCAAGAAAUAGUCAUCAAUUUUUAGGUUAACAAAAUGCUAAAUCAAGCAAAGUAGAGAAAAAUAGAAAGUGGCCAAAGACGAAAUAGCAAAUUCUAUGUUUUUGCAUUCAUGCAUAGGCUAAUCGUGUAGUACAAACAUUUAGUGUAAGAUUUAUAACUCAUCUCUCAUCAUGCGUAUCACUAGACUUGCAACAUAUGUUAAUAUAUUAAUCUCAAACCACAAACAGAUAACAGAAGAUGGAACAUAUACUCACUGGAACUAAAACUAUAACUGAGUAAAGACUAUUUUCAGCAGAAUAUGUAACUUGAUGUAGUGUUCCCUUCAAUGGUAUCUGAAACCUCAGUCAAAAAAUAAACGAGAAGGCACAUAAAGAAAAUGUUAAAAUUCAGAUAUCCAUUGGGAGAAAUAAACAUCAAACUUUCUGUACUAAUGAUUUUGUACUCUAAUUAAUUGGAAAACGUUAGUAGAACUUAAUAUGCACUAGUUUAAUUAUCUUUGCAGGGAACACUCUUCAUGUUAUUGAAAAAGCUAAACACCAUGUCAUACUUAUAAUAGGAUAAUUCACAUCCCUUGACCAGUACUUCAAUUGCUUUAGAUGCAAUUGUCCCUAGCUUUGAAAUUUAUACUAAUAAUAUAAUCCCCUAUAAUUAAUCAACUAGAUAGCCACUGUCAACUUCCUUAGUAAUCACUUUCAUCAAUCAAUUAGCUAACAAUUAUACAAUCAUAUCAUCUUUGUUGAAGCUCUCAUAGGAUAUGCCAAAAUUUCUAACCUCCGUCCACAACUGGAUAUCCAUAAAUAUAAUUGACAUAAGCACAUAUUGUGAUGUCUUAAUGUUUACUAGUGCUGACCUAUAGUUUCUUCUUCCCCACUAGAUUCUUUGUGCUUCAGGGAAUUGUGGGUUAACAAACUAUAAGCCUCCAAAGUAGUAACAAAAACAAAAUAAUCGAUCCAUAAACUACAAUACGGUAAAUAAAUUGUUAAGUCAGUAAUCAAAGUGAAGCAGUGGAGAGCUGAAAUUUGGUAAAAAAAUACCUUAAAAUCACCAAAUUAAAAGAAAAAAACAAAUUUGCUAGAAAAUUGAAGUGCAAAUUUGAGAGUUCAAAUUGAAGUGGUUGUCAGAGCAAUGGAGAAGCUGAUCUGUGAUCCGAGCAUGCACUGAUGGUCGAUUUGUCAUCGAAACAUGCACUGGUGGUUGAUUUGUGGUCGGAGCACGCACUAGUGGUCGAUUUGUGGUCGGAGAAUGCAAUGGUGGUCGAGUUUGAGGCCGGAGCAUAGUACGGUGGCAAUUGUGGUCGGAGAGUAUUAUCGAUAGCGAUUGUGAUAUAGUACUGGCGGUGAUAGUGGUGUAAUACUGCUGGAGAUUGUGGUGUAGUACUGGUGGAAAAUUUUACUUGAUCGGAGAGUCUUGGUGGAGUAGCGUAGUACAACUAGUUCCACUGAGAUUUUGCUUAUAUAUUUAUCUAAUCUUUUC